This 885-nucleotide ribosomal RNA is filed under the name Staphylococcus aureus VET0336R. RNAcentral's name for it is "bacterial SSU rRNA". It matches the Rfam family "Bacterial small subunit ribosomal RNA", at positions 9 to 873 of the family's 1533-position model. RNAcentral also lists the same sequence under 1 other name. The record is from RNAcentral. Lineage: Bacteria; Bacillati; Bacillota; Bacilli; Caryophanales; Staphylococcaceae.
AGAGUUUGAUCCUGGCUCAGGAUGAACGCUGGCGGCGUGCCUAAUACAUGCAAGUCGAGCGAACGGACGAGAAGCUUGCUUCUCUGAUGUUAGCGGCGGACGGGUGAGUAACACGUGGAUAACCUACCUAUAAGACUGGGAUAACUUCGGGAAACCGGAGCUAAUACCGGAUAAUAUUUUGAACCGCAUGGUUCAAAAGUGAAAGACGGUCUUGCUGUCACUUAUAGAUGGAUCCGCGCUGCAUUAGCUAGUUGGUAAGGUAACGGCUUACCAAGGCAACGAUGCAUAGCCGACCUGAGAGGGUGAUCGGCCACACUGGAACUGAGACACGGUCCAGACUCCUACGGGAGGCAGCAGUAGGGAAUCUUCCGCAAUGGGCGAAAGCCUGACGGAGCAACGCCGCGUGAGUGAUGAAGGUCUUCGGAUCGUAAAACUCUGUUAUUAGGGAAGAACAUAUGUGUAAGUAACUGUGCACAUCUUGACGGUACCUAAUCAGAAAGCCACGGCUAACUACGUGCCAGCAGCCGCGGUAAUACGUAGGUGGCAAGCGUUAUCCGGAAUUAUUGGGCGUAAAGCGCGCGUAGGCGGUUUUUUAAGUCUGAUGUGAAAGCCCACGGCUCAACCGUGGAGGGUCAUUGGAAACUGGAAAACUUGAGUGCAGAAGAGGAAAGUGGAAUUCCAUGUGUAGCGGUGAAAUGCGCAGAGAUAUGGAGGAACACCAGUGGCGAAGGCGACUUUCUGGUCUGUAACUGACGCUGAUGUGCGAAAGCGUGGGGAUCAAACAGGAUUAGAUACCCUGGUAGUCCACGCCGUAAACGAUGAGUGCUAAGUGUUAGGGGGUUUCCGCCCCUUAGUGCUGCAGCUAACGCAUUAAGCACUCCGCCU